Molecule: ribosomal RNA, 866 nt
Filed under: uncultured bacterium
Lineage: Bacteria
Description: bacterial SSU rRNA
Rfam family: Bacterial small subunit ribosomal RNA
Source: RNAcentral
GAGUUUGAUCAUGGCUCAGAACGAACGCUGGCGGCGUGGAUAAAACAUGCAAGUCGAACGAGAUCCCUGGAUAGCUUGCUAACUGGGGUGACAGUGGCGGACGGGUGCGUAACACGUGAGCAACCUGCCCUGAAGUGGGGGAUAGCUCUCCGAAAGGAGAAUUAAUACCGCAUGUGGUCUUCGGACCAAAGACGGCUUCGGCUGUCGCUUCAGGAUGGGCUCGCGGCCUAUCAGCUUGUUGGUGAGGUAACGGCUCACCAAGGCGAUGACGGGUAGCUGGUCUGAGAGGACGAUCAGCCUCACUGGAACUGAGACACGGUCCAGACACCUACGGGUGGCAGCAGUCGAGAAUCAUUCACAAUGGACGAAAGUCUGAUGGUGCAACGCCGCGUGGAGGAUGACGGCCUUCGGGUCGUAAACUCCUGUCAUCUGGGAGUAAGCCUUGUGCGUUAAUAGCGUGCAAGGUUGAUAGUACCAGAAGAGGAAGGGACGGCUAACUUCGUGCCAGCAGCCGCGGUAAUACGAAGGUCCCAAGCGUUGUUCGGAAUCACUGGGCGUAAAGCGUGCGUAGGCGGCGCGGAAAGUCAGGUGUGAAAUCUCUGGGCUCAACCCGGAAACUGCAUCCGAUACUCCCGCGCUAGAGUAAUGGAGGGGUAGCUGGAAUUCUCGGUGUAACAGUGAAAUGCGUAGAUAUCGAGAGGAACACUCGUGGCGAAGCGAGCUACUGGACAUUUACUGACGCUGAGGCACGAAAGCCAGGGGAGCGAAAGGGAUUAGAUACCCCUGUAGUCCUGGCAGUAAACGGUGUGCGCUUGGUGUGGGAGGAUUCGACCCCUUCUGUGCCGGAGCUAACGCGUUAAGCGCAC